This is a non-coding RNA of Equus caballus (horse), 623 nucleotides long. NCBI's taxonomy places the organism in Eukaryota, Metazoa, Chordata, Mammalia, Perissodactyla, Equidae. The record is from RefSeq and is a predicted model, not a curated record.
ACGGAGCGCUGGGAAGCGGCCUCAGCUCGCUUGGGGAGGAGGUGGCUGUGGGCAGGUGGUCGCCGGCCUCGAGCGGUCGGGCCUGGCUUCUCCGCUACGGGCUGUUGUUCCCUACAUGGCUGGGCGAGUGGACGAGACCGGGACGCCACCCCACACGCAGCGGUGUUCCUUCCCCAGUGUCCGCGUAGAAUUACCGUCUUGGGGUUCCGGGAGGCGACCUGGAAGACCAAGAACUUAUCAUCAUACUCCACCUGCAACACCUACAGAUUUGGGUGAAUUCCUCUCUUCCCGAGGUCCCCAAAAUAUCCUGGGGUUCCUGCACCUGCCAGGGAAGUGACCUUCCUUAUUAACCAGAAUCCUGUAAUCAGCACCAUGUGAAUGAGCCAGGGCUGGCCUGCUGGAGGACGGACAUCACACGCCCAGCUAAUACCACUGACCAUCCUGACAGCCAGCCAUCUACCAAACACGUGAGGCCAAAAAUUGCCAGCUAACCACAAAGUCAAUGAACCCAAGUGAUACCACACGGAGCAGAGAUGAACCAUCUCGGCUGCUCCCAGCCUGAAUGUCAUAAUUUAGGGCAAGUCACAUAAUUAUGAGAAAAUCAAUGGAUGUUGUUUAUGCCA